Molecule: ribosomal RNA, 154 nt
Filed under: Tetrahymena canadensis
Lineage: Eukaryota; Ciliophora; Oligohymenophorea; Hymenostomatida; Tetrahymenidae
Also listed under: 16 other names
Description: 5.8S ribosomal RNA
Rfam family: 5.8S ribosomal RNA
About the family: 5.8S ribosomal RNA (5.8S rRNA) is a component of the large subunit of the eukaryotic ribosome. It is transcribed by RNA polymerase I as part of the 45S precursor that also contains 18S and 28S rRNA.
Source: RNAcentral
AGAAAAUUUUCAACGGUGGAUAUCUAGGUUCCCGUGACGAUGAAGAACGCAGCGAAAUGCGAUACGCAAUGCGAAUUGCAGAACCGCGAGUCAUCAGAUCUUUGAACGCAAGUGGUGGAGGUGUAAAAACCUUCAUGUUUGUUUCAGUGUGGAA